Molecule: long non-coding RNA, 2168 nt
Organism: Dreissena polymorpha
Lineage: Eukaryota; Metazoa; Mollusca; Bivalvia; Myida; Dreissenidae
Exons: 6
Source: RefSeq, a predicted model, not a curated record
CAUACUCAUGUUCAAGGGCACGUAACACUUCACUGAACGAAAAUCACUUUGGAAUGAUUCAUUCGAUCGGUAUAAAAACAAGAGCGCAACUGUGUCAGACAUUUAAACUAAAACAUUUAACAACAUGUGGGGACAGAUGAUAAUCGCUCUAGCCUGUGCUUCGGAGAUUUUAGCACAAGACUGUGUGAUCCCAUCGAGUUCGCAGUUUAGCAGGGCUUCUUAUCGGCGGUAUCACGGGCGGACUGCUUCCGGAAAGACUAUCUACGACGCCGGAGAGCGGCUUAUUGUCGGCACGUGGAUCCGGGUUGUAUGUAACAAGGACCGUCAAGGAGAUGCUGUUUUAAAAGUCAGCAAUCAUUUGUGCAGCGCCGGAAAUUGGAGCCCAGCACUUCCGGUUUGCCAAGAGUAUGCACGUUGCGGAGCACCCCAUAGGGUUGAGAAUGCCACAGCGUCCGAAAGAAUCACGCCCUACAUAACCUUUCCCCACCAGACUGUUGUACAUUACAAAUGAAAUGCAGGCUUCGAUAAGCGUGGAACGAUAGCGUACGUGAAGUGCGUUGACGGCGAAUGGACGUCAGCCGACGUCAUUUGCGUUGAUAGGACAACGAUAACGUCGGAGAAAAAAGAGAAUACAGAAAUAACUACUCAAAAUAAUGUUCGCAUCCCAAUAACUACCGCCAGGACGAUACCAUUGUGUAUAGAACCAGACAUCCCACACGGCAAGCUCGUAAAGAACGUCAUUUCCGGUUACUAUGACGUCAUAUGUGACGUAGGCUUUAAAGUAAUACAACCGAAAAGUAUCAGAUGCUUGAGAGGAGUUUGGAGCGAGCCGAUACCGCAGUGCGACAUACUGCGCUGCCCACAGUUGAGUGCCAAUUUCACACUAUAUCAAUCACGUCGAUAUUCAACCAGAACCGGGUCCGGUUAUGCACAGCCCGUCGGUCGGGCAUUGAACUCUGGACUCCCCCAUGGUGCGGCGGUGAAGAUAAAUUGCGGUGACGACGCAUACCCAACACUCGGAGUUGAAAGGGCAUGGUGUCACGAGGGCCGUUGGUUGCCAAGGGAACCUAUCUGCAAAAAGUAUUGCGCCCGGCCGGCGUCUGUGAAUCUCAAUGAUGCAAAUACACAACUACUUCCGGUUCCGGAACUCGUGAUGGACGGUGUCAGUGUAACACAGACUUGCGCGGACGGAAAUACCCGGGUGAACUAUUGCGCCGACGGAAGUUGGCUCCAUGGUUUCCUACCAUGUCUGUAAAGUGGCUUACUACCGUACGACGUUAUCGCCAUUGAUGGAAACCGGAAAUAACUGACUAACGUCUUCACAAUUCUAGAUCUCAGUCUCAAGCCUCAUUAUCUGAAAUGUUUGCUUCAUUCAAGGUUAAAUAAGCACAUUAAUUGAGCAUUUAAGAGUGGGACUAAAUGUCUACUCAAUCAAAUAGGACCUGGCUGUUUUACAUCUAAGGCAUCUCAUUUGCUGAUACAAUUUUGACGCAUUUGCUUCGAAACUGUAAACGGUGAAAUAUCCUCAUUGAAUGAGAGAUUAGAUUGAGUGUGAAGUAUAGGAAACUCAAUGUUUUUUCCACCUCAGAAAUGUCAUUUUCAGAUAUUGUUUUUACCCUUUGUUUUCUGAAAUGUAAAAUAAUAGACUAGUGUGAUGCCAGGUAAACGAAAACUCGAAGUUUAAACAUAAAGAACGUUUUGAAAAUAAUUAUUUUAUACAAGCAAAAACAGUAUUAAUAGGCAGCCACCUUAAAAAUAUGUAUGUUCUGCACUCUGAUUGUAGGUACAUGAAAACAAAAGGGACAAAUAUGCGUUUGUUUGGUGAGACAAAUUUUAGAUAGUUUGUUACAUCGCGUUUGUGUUUAUAGGAUACAGAGUUCACGGCUAUAGCUAUAAUUCAAAACAUUGUUAAUUAUUGCAAAUAGUAUGUUUACUUUUCAUAUGAUAUAUUCACAAAGUUUGUAAUACAUUUUUCAUUAAUACAAUACGGAAAAAUGUACUUUGUUUAUCUUUAUACUUAAGCAUGAAGUGCAUAUUGCGAGCUUUUGUGAUUAAUCUAUGUUCGGCGGUGACUGCUGGCUAGAUUGUUCAUCAAAAGUUCACGAAACUUAAACAGAAUGAUUAUUUUGUAAAUCUACAUUCAUGACUUAAUAAAAGUGAAACAUGGU